AUGUCGCUCCCAUGCGACUCGGGGGAACGUAGUCACCGGCCGGCACACCCCCCUCCCCUCCCCUUCCCCUCGCCGCUGCCGGAGGAUGCGGCCAGGCUAAGCCCGCGUUGUGGACGGCGGUGGCGGGGCGUUUCCCGGCGCGGAGACGAGCAUCCAUUGCGGAGGGAGGUCGCGCCCUCGUCGCUCGGCUACCGACGAACUGCUACGCCCCGGUGGCCUUGUCCUUGGAUCCGGUGGGUGGCCCCUCCAGUCCUCCUCUUGGUUCCUGUUGCUGCUUCUGGCGACGGCUCUUCGGGCUCCCAGUGUUCUGUGGCGGCGGCCUCGGCUUUCCGCCUCAGAUCCGUCCGGCUUGGUUGGGAUGGGGUGGCAGCUCUCCGACUCCGACCCCAGCUCUCAUGCAUCGUGCGGCUUGCGUGCACGUCGCUGCCGGGAGCAGAGCUCCUCUGGUGGCUGCCCUGCGGUGGAGGGGUGUUGGGUCUGGCGUGUGGCCAUAUCUGGCUCACCGCGGGUGCUGCUGGCCGGCAUCAAUGGCAGCGAGUUGCAGUGGUGGUCCAUGUACGACAAUGGUGCGGUUGUUGUGUAGGGGAUGUGCGGGCCAGUGGAGGUUCUACUGCUCCGGGCGAAAGUCUAGCCGGUGAUUGCCAGCCGGUGGUGGUGACGCCCGUGGGCAUCGCUAUCAUUCUUGGAGGCGCCGUUGAGAUCAAAGAAUCCUCUUCUCUCAGAUCGAGUUCUUUAGGUGAAAGCCAAGAUCCUUGUGUAGGAUCGGGUGGCGGCGGCGUCUUCAACGUCGCUCUCCCUCUUGGGGGCGCCGUCUUGAAGACUUUGAUCCCUCCUACACUCCCUCGGGGCUGGACGUGCAUGACAUCGUGGUCGGCAGUCGGAGCUACAGCAUUGCGGGGCGACACAGCGGCAACGAUGCCAUGCGAUGGGCAAAUCGGACAUUGUCAGUGCAAGGUGUGCUCCUUUUCUCCUGCGAGGCUUGUCAUCAAGGUCAGAGCUGCCUCAUCCUCGACGCCCGCGGCCGAUUGUUUGGCUUUGGCCAGCAGGGUUCUCGUGUACCAUUCGUUCGGAGGGGUCUUGAUGGGUCAUCCACGUCGAAGUCGUAGUCGCCUGCUCAGGGAGAGGUACCAGGUCGGCCAUGUGCCUUUCCUUGUGGGCGCUACCCGCCCAUACGAGGGGCUUGCGAUCGCCAGCUGCUCAGCCGUUAAUCCAUGUUUCACGUACAUGGUUUCUUCAAUGGUGAAUGUCAAGUGGGUCUCGUUAGACAUGGGUCCAGCUAAUGAGAUUGUUUUUCUUGGGUUUGAUCCCAAUCCCUCGCGUCUUCGAGCCCCCCUUCCCCUCGUCUCCUGUUUCCUCGAGCCCCGCGUCCCCUCCUCCAUGCUCUCCACCCGCCUCCCCCCCUUCGCGUUUCUCCUCCUCCGCUUAAAUUCCACGGCGGCGGCUGGCUCGAGGCGGGGGAGUGGCGGAUGCGGCCUCGGCAGCGGCACGAGAGGAGCGGUGGCGGCAGCGUCCAGCUGUGAAGAGGCGCCGCGCUCGGGCGCGAGAGACGGAGGCGGGAGCGCUGCCCCGGGUCCCAUCUGGGGAGGGUACGAGGCAGGGAAGGACGCCGCCAUCGCAGGUCUUCCUUCCAUCCCUUUCGUUCCUUCUGAUUCAUCCUCUUCCUACCCCCUCCUCCCCUGCCUCCUCACGUCGCCCUCAAAUCAGAGUCAACCAGGACAGCGCGCGGGCAAGCUCAAGCUGGUGAAAAUUCUUGCCUUGGUGAAUUUAUCAAGCAUUUGUAGUGCUCAUAUGUUUGAUCCUCACGUAACUAUGGUUUGCUGGAGAUCUGUUCUAUGCCUGCCGGCGAUUCUGGCAUACACAUCGGACAUGGGCCGGUUCUACUUUAGGAGAGGUUCAAUGAUGGCGCAAGGGCCCCUGAGGGGGACGAAUCAGGAUGGAUCCAAGCUGCCGACGCCUCUUCUUUGCUGCCAUGGACGAGCCCUCGCCCAGCGACCACCUCCAUUCAGCUGGCGGCAGACGGCGAUGGCCAACUCCCAGGUGCAGCCAGUGGGGAGGCGACAAUGGCAAGGGCGGCAGGAGACGCAGCUGAUCAACACUGUCGACUGCUGCCAUACAAGAGGCGUUUAUCACCGUGAUCUGAAGCACUCUCAAGGUGAUUUUGGACUAAGUGCUCUAUCGCAGCACGUCAGAUCUCAAGAUGAUUCUGAUCCUGAGUACUCUUGGAUGUUUAUUAGCUAUCCAAGAAAAUUAGCCUCUGGUUUCAAUGUCUGGCAGGGUCCAGUUGUUGGUAUCUUCAGCUGGUUUGCCGUCUACCCCUCUGUUGGCUCGUCGGUUAUUUGUCUUCCCACCAAGGUUGGCUUUCCCGCCUCAGAGUGUGCUACAACUACACUAUUUGAUAGUUCUACAUGCUUGUUUGGUUACACCAAGGGAACUACAUCAUCUGCGGUUGUGCCUAAAGAUCCUACCCAAACUGGAGGAACCGUUUUUGCUGGAGAUGUUGUUGACCCUGCAUCCAAAACAGAUGUUAGCAUUCAUGUUCAAUUCCACUCUUAUUGUUUUCCCUUUUGUGCAUUCCUCACCCCACGAGCAUCGCCAUGUCAUGAUAGGAAUCUAAGCAAGAUGCUCAGGAUGCUGCUGCUGUAG
Molecule: ribosomal RNA, 2643 nt
Filed under: Triticum aestivum (bread wheat)
Lineage: Eukaryota; Viridiplantae; Streptophyta; Magnoliopsida; Poales; Poaceae
Description: partial small subunit ribosomal RNA
Source: RNAcentral